RNAcentral lists this ribosomal RNA (438 nucleotides) under uncultured bacterium. Its description in RNAcentral is "bacterial SSU rRNA". It matches the Rfam family "Bacterial small subunit ribosomal RNA", at positions 331 to 786 of the family's 1533-position model. The record is from RNAcentral.
CCAGACUCCUACGGGAGGCAGCAGUGGGGAAUAUUGCACAAUGGGGGAAACCCUGAUGCAGCGACGCCGCGUGAGUGAAGAAGUAUCUCGGUAUGUAAAGCUCUAUCAGCAGGGAAGAAAAUGACGGUACCUGACUAAGAAGCCCCGGCUAACUACGUGCCAGCAGCCGCGGUAAUACGUAGGGGGCAAGCGUUAUCCGGAUUUACUGGGUGUAAAGGGAGCGCAGGCGGCACGGCAAGCCUGAUGUGAAAGCCGGGGGCCCAACCGCGGAACUGCAUUGGGAACUGCCGGGCUGGAGUGCCGGAGAGGUAGGCGGAAUUCCUGGUGUAGCGGUGAAAUGCGUAGAUAUUAGGAGGAACACCAGUGGCGAAGGCGGCCUACUGGACGGUGACUGACGCUGAGGCUCGAAAGCGUGGGGAGCAAACAGGAUUAGAUCCC